Molecule: long non-coding RNA, 827 nt
Organism: Chenopodium quinoa (quinoa)
Lineage: Eukaryota; Viridiplantae; Streptophyta; Magnoliopsida; Caryophyllales; Amaranthaceae
Exons: 2
Source: RefSeq, a predicted model, not a curated record
UAAAAAAAAAAAUUAAAAAAAAAAACUCAAUCACUAAAAGGCUUAAGUAAUUUUUUCUUCAAUAGUUCUAUACAGUACAGAAACUCUUCCUCCUUUCACCAAAAAAUAAAAAAUCAGAAACUCUUCCUUCUAAAAAAAACCACGCAUAAGGAAAUUUUCAGAGAUUCAAGAAUUCAACCCUCAUUGUCGCUCUUCAUCUGCCUCUGCUGCGCGCCUGCGCCACCACGUCUCCUCCAAGCGUACAUGAGACUUGAGUUCGAUGCUAAGGCUAGGAGAGACUUUGACAAAAAAGUUGGGGACCGACUUAGGGGUACAUUGAACCAAGUUUUCAAAAUGCCUCUCCAUAAGAAGUUAAUUUCAUGAUUGACACUGUUCGAGCCGAAUUCAUAAAUAAGCGUAAGCGUCCAGAUUUUGUGAAACGUUGUGAGCAAGCAAGUGAUAAUCAGUUAUCUAGACAAAUAUUAGAGACAAUCGGUUAUCUAACUGACCUUUAAUUUUUGGAGGCAUAUUUGUAUAUCUUCAUUAAUUUUUAUUUGAAGUAGCUUCUUUGUGUAGGAGGUGAUUUUUGAAACAAUUAGUCAUAGUUUAGAAUACUGCUUUUUAGUACAAUUAUACAAAAUUGAGUAUAUUUAAAUAAAAUUAUCAUGUUGGUUAUUUAACUUUAUGCGUGGGUACCUUUUUUUGUGAUUGAUAUUGGUCGUUGGCUCGUUGCUAAAUUAUGGUCUCUAAAUAUUAAUAGCCAGUUGCAAAAAUUUUGCGACUGCAGAUUUGUUUUAGAGAAUGAUCGGUUAGUUGCAAAAUAAUUAGUCUCAAUGACUAAUUUGUCG